GCCCCAGAGCCGCGAGGAAACGGCCUCUUGCGGAUCGGGUAAUUUAACCUGAAGGAG
This 57-nucleotide non-coding RNA is filed under the name unclassified sequences. The record is from Rfam.